UACGGGGGGAGCAAACGUUGUUCGGAAUCACUGGGCUUAAAGGGCGCGUAGGCGGAUUCUCAAGUCCGGGGUGAAAUCCCACAGCUCAACUGUGGAACUGCCUCGGAUACUGGGAGUCUCGAGGGUGGCAGGGGUAUGCGGAACUAUCGGUGGAGCGGUGAAAUGCGUUGAUAUCGAUAGGAACUCCGGUGGCGAAGGCGGCAUACUGGUCCACUUCUGACGCUGAGGCGCGAAAGCCAGGGGAGCAAACGGGGAUUAAGAAAC
Molecule: ribosomal RNA, 264 nt
Filed under: uncultured bacterium
Lineage: Bacteria
Description: partial 16S ribosomal RNA
Rfam family: Bacterial small subunit ribosomal RNA
Source: RNAcentral